GAUUACCCCUCUGUAACCAUUCUCAAAACCUUCUACUUUGUUAGCCAAAAAAUAAUCUCAGGAGGACAGCAGCACUCCAGUGUCUCCCCAGCAGCUUCGGUCACCUGAGAAAAGUUCUGUCAGUGGGAUUAUUUCUCUGCUGGUAAACUUCCCACCUGACAUUCAUUUACAUGAUUGAAAUGUAGACUUCAGAUGCCUGACUCCAUUCCUUUCUUCACUGCUUGACUCCCUGUGUAGCCAUGGCUCCCAUGGGGAAGAUGUGUGAGGUGAACACCAGAAGGAAGCACCAGCACAGGAGUUAACCACAUGACUAGCUAAAGGUCUGGAAUGAGAAUAUCUUGGACUUAGUCCCAUUCUUUUUUGUAUGACUACAGAAGAGGAUUUGCAAGCAAAGGGAGAAGGAAAAAGUGGGAAAGUACUGUGGAUAUUUCUCAAAACAAGUUGACCAUUAUGGAUUUCGUGUUAUCAAAGCCAUGGUUGCAACUCUAGGCUGUUUGGACUCCAAAUCAUCUCAUAUUCUUCAGAUUCUCUGGAAUGAGUUAGCAGAACAGCUUUUACUGAAAAAAAAAUCCAGCUGACUGAAGAAAAGCCCUCAGAUGGGACUUUCUUCUGCAGGCAAACAGAUUUCAAAAUAUGAAAAUUCUCUGAGAGAGAAUCCUUCCUUUUUCCACAUAGCACUAUUUCCAAGAAACUGCAUAGCCAUGUUGAAGAUCUUUAAAUAACCACUGAAUACUUCUGUUCUACCAGCAAAGUAAUGUUGUACUUUUGAUUGUCAAAAACAUUUAGAUAAUGAACACCCAUUGAUUCCUCCAUAAAGAUAUAUGGGGGGGGGGGGGGGGGGAUGGGGAGAUAUUCUCAGUUCUGGAUUUCAAAUCCUUCCAUUUAAAUCACAGCAAUAAAAAGAGCACAUUGGACAUGGCUUAGUUAAUUCAUUUUGUAUUGCUUUUAUUUUGAUUUAAUGAGAAUGCUGUUAAGGAGAGCACAAUGCAUAAGGAGAGCUGAUGGCUGGAAAUGGGAUCUAUUUAGGUUAGAAGUCAGGUACAGAUAUUUAGCAGUGAGGUUAUUUAACCUUCAGAAGAGCUUACUCUUACCAAAAACUGUGGUGAAUUUUUCAUCCCUGCAAUUUGUUUUUUUAACCCAGAUUGAACAUAAUUUAGGGCAUCCCUAUUAACUGGGCUAUAUGGGACAUCAGGCUAAUGAAUAGGAAUGUUCCUUCUACUAUGUAUGAAUCUAUGUUGGUGGAAGCACAGAAAAUUCUACCUCUGUAAAAAUUAAGAAACAUUCAGGUACCUGAACAUGGACUUUGGCUAGAGGUAGUUGGGAAUUUUUCACUGAAAUGAUGUUCCACCUUGCAAUUUCCAAGGCAGACAAAAAAGAGUAGGAUAGCAUUUUUUAAGUGUCAUACCUUUCUGAUGGAGAACUAAAAUUAAAAUUGCUAUUUUAUUUUAUGUUAGUUGACCUGAAUAUGAGUAUUGAUUUUGUUUUGACAGUGAUCUAAACUAUUUUCCUUCAGAUCAAUAUUAAAUAAAUAUAAUAUAAAAUAGCAUUUUGCCAUAGAUAAAUUUUACCUUUCUAGAACCUGAAUUCUUUUAUAAGCUGAGAUUUUUGUCAAACACAUAUUCAGGAAUGCAUUGUUUGGAAUCAUAUGACUCAGCUAAUGUGUGCUCUUGAUGGUUUUUAUUUGGUCCUAAGGCCUGUCUGUCAGCCUGCUAUGGAAGCAGAAGACAAAACUGGAUUGAGAGAAUAAGAAGAUGAAAUUUUAUGCUGGAAUAAAACUGAGUAACAGAACCACUUAUUUCUAAUAAAUUCAGAUGUUUUAACUGAAUAUGUCAAAAUGGGACCUCUUGACAUUUCUGAAUGCAUUUUAUUUCUUGGAGUUUGUUCAGUGUUCUCAUUCUGCAUCAGAAUGAUUCCAAGUUUUGCAGAGGUUUGACUGAAUUUUGCCCAGUUUCUGUUUUCAGAUAAAUUUUUGAAACUUCAUCAUGGAAGACUGGGGCUCACAGAAAUAAUAUGGUUAUGUUUUUUCUUUUUUAAAAAACAACUUUUCUGGAUGGAAGGGAUACUGACUCUCUAUUAAGACAUAUAAAAGCAGAAAAAAUGGAUGAACUUUGAAGGCUGAGCCAUAAGCAAGUCACAAAAAAUUCUUAAAUAUCUUGCUUCAUCUUCCCUACAGUAUUUUACUCACCUUUCAGUAUUAACUAUUUCUACUCCAAUUGAAAAUUCAACAAAAUUCAUUUAA
Oenanthe melanoleuca is the source of this 2239-nucleotide long non-coding RNA. RefSeq lists it as uncharacterized. The record is from RefSeq and is a predicted model, not a curated record. The transcript has 6 exons. NCBI's taxonomy places the organism in Eukaryota, Metazoa, Chordata, Aves, Passeriformes, Muscicapidae.